UGGGCUGGCCGGGCGACCGCGUUCCGCCGCACGGCAACGUGCGGUGGGCCGAGGAAGGUCCGGGCUCCACAGGGCAGGGUGAUGGUUAACGGCCAUCCGGGGCAACCCCGCGGGACAGUGCCACAGAAAACAGACCGCCUGUCAUCGCUUCGGCGAAGGCAGGUAAGGGUGAAACGGUGGGGUAAGAGCCCACCAGCGUGCCGGGCGACCGGUGCGGCUAGGUAAACCCCACCCGGAGCAAGAUCAGACAGUGUGCGUUCGAGGGCGGCCCCGCCCGAGUGCACGGGUAGAUCGCUGGAGGGAGUCGGCAACGGCUCUCGUAGAUGGAUGGUCGCCCCGCCCGGUUUCGGCCGGGCGGACAGAACCCGGCCUACAGGCCAGCCCAUUCG
RNAcentral lists this RNase P RNA (389 nucleotides) under Nocardioides sp. B-3. RNAcentral's name for it is "RNase P RNA component class A". It matches the Rfam family "Bacterial RNase P class A". Rfam says of the family: Ribonuclease P (RNase P) is a ubiquitous endoribonuclease, found in archaea, bacteria and eukarya as well as chloroplasts and mitochondria. Its best characterised activity is the generation of mature 5'-ends of tRNAs by cleaving the 5'-leader elements of precursor-tRNAs. The record is from RNAcentral. Lineage: Bacteria; Bacillati; Actinomycetota; Actinomycetes; Propionibacteriales; Nocardioidaceae.